Perognathus longimembris pacificus (Pacific pocket mouse) is the source of this 321-nucleotide long non-coding RNA. RefSeq lists it as uncharacterized. NCBI's taxonomy places the organism in Eukaryota, Metazoa, Chordata, Mammalia, Rodentia, Heteromyidae. The record is from RefSeq and is a predicted model, not a curated record. The transcript is spliced from 3 exons.
GAUCUCAGCCUUCUGAGAAGCUAGGGUGACAGGCGUGAGCCCCUGGUGCCCAGCCUAGUCUAAUGUUCCUGGCUUCCUGCUGGAUGAGCCUCAUGUGUCCAUCAUCUCUACCUUCCCGAGGAAGAGCAAGUGACACUCGCAGAAGCUAAGUCACUUCCCACAGGGGUCGGCCAGUGAGUGAGGGGACAGGUUUUAUACCUGACCUGCCAGACUCUAGAACUUUCUCCACCAUUGCCUCUGCCUCCCACCCCAGCAAGUAAGAGCUGGACAUAUGUGUUAGAACUACCGGGGAGCUUUUAAAAAUUCUAACGUGCCAGGUGC